This 421-nucleotide ribosomal RNA is filed under the name Fusobacteriota bacterium. RNAcentral describes it as "Fusobacteria bacterium partial 16S ribosomal RNA". It matches the Rfam family "Bacterial small subunit ribosomal RNA", at positions 355 to 776 of the family's 1533-position model. The record is from RNAcentral. Lineage: Bacteria; Fusobacteriati; Fusobacteriota.
UGGGGAAUUUUGCACAAUGGGGGGAACCUUGAUGCAGCGACGCCGCGUGAGGGAUGGAGGCCUUCGGGUUGUGAACCUCUUUCGCUCGUGUGCAAGCCGCUAUUUGGGUAGUGGUGAGUGUAGCGGGUAAAGAAGCGCCGGCUAACUACGUGCCAGCAGCCGCGGUAAUACGUAGGGCGCGAGCGUUGUCCGGAUUUAUUGGGCGUAAAGGGCUUGUAGGCGGUUUGUCGCGCCUGUCGUGUAAUCCUCUGGCUUAACUGGGGGUGUGCGGUGGGUACGGGCAAGCUGGAGUGCGGUAGGGGGGAUUGGAAUUCCUGGUGUAGCGGUGGAAUGCGCAGAUAUCAGGAGGAACACCGGUGGCGAAGGCGGGUCUCUGGGCCGUUACUGACGCUGAGGAGCGAAAGCGUGGGGAGCGAACAGG